UGCAUGCAGUCGAACGGGCGGAGGGGCUUCGGCCCCCGAGCUAGUGGCAGACGGCUGAGUAACACGUAAGUGAUCUGCCCCGGAGAGGGGGAUAACCCGGAGAAGUCCGGCCUAAUACCCCGUACGCUCCCUUUACUGCGGUUUAGAGAGGAAAGUUCCGGCGCUCUGGGAGGAGCUUGCGGCCUAUCAUGGUAGUUGGUGGGGUAAAAGCCUACCAAGCCGAAGACGGGUAACCGGUGUGAGAGCACGAUCUGUCAGAGGGGGACUGAGACACGGCCCCCACUCCUACGGGAGGCAGCAGCAGGGAAUCUUGCGCAAUGGGCGAAAGCCUGACGCAGCGACACCGCGUGGGGGAUGAAGGCUUUCGAGUUGUAAACCCCUUUUCCCGGGGAUGAGAAAGGACAGUACCCGGGGAAUAAGGUUCGGCUAACUACGUGCCAGCAGCCGCGGUAAUACGUAGGAACCGAGCGUUGUCCGGAUUUACUGGGCGUAAAGUGCGCGUAGGCGGUCUGUUAAGUCUCAUGUGAAAUCUCCCGGCUCAACUGGGAGGGGUCAUGGGAUACUGGCAGACUUGAGUGCAGCAGAGGGGAGUGGAAUUCCCGGAGUAGUGGUGGAAUGCGUAGAUACCGGGAGGAACACCAGAGGCGAAGGCGACUCCCUGGGCUGUGUCUGACGCUGGGGCGCGAAAGCGUGGGUAGCAAACCGGAUUAGAUACCCGGGUAGUCCACGCCCUAAACGAUGGAUACUAGGUAUGGGGGGGUAUCGACCCCCUCCGUGCCGCAGCUAACGCAAUAAGUAUCCCGCCUGAGGAGUACGGCCGCAAGGCUAAA
This 830-nucleotide ribosomal RNA is filed under the name uncultured Chloroflexota bacterium. Its description in RNAcentral is "bacterial SSU rRNA". It matches the Rfam family "Bacterial small subunit ribosomal RNA", at positions 52 to 898 of the family's 1533-position model. Lineage: Bacteria; Bacillati; Chloroflexota. The record is from RNAcentral.